UACCAUCCCAGUUCGGAUUGCAGUCUGCAACUCGACUGCAUGAAGCUGGAAUCGCUAGUAAUCGCGGAUCAGAAUGCCGCGGUGAAUACGUUCCCGGGUCUUGUACACACCGCCCGUCACACCAUGGGAGUCGGAUAUGCCCGAAGUCAGUGACCCAACCGCAAGGAGGGAGCUGCCAAAGGUGGAGCCGAUGACUGGGGUGAAGUCGUAACAAGGUAAC
RNAcentral lists this ribosomal RNA (220 nucleotides) under uncultured bacterium. RNAcentral's name for it is "partial 16S ribosomal RNA". It matches the Rfam family "Bacterial small subunit ribosomal RNA", at positions 1281 to 1500 of the family's 1533-position model. The record is from RNAcentral.